Molecule: unclassified non-coding RNA, 377 nt
Filed under: uncultured bacterium
Lineage: Bacteria
Description: contains 16S-23S intergenic spacer region
Source: RNAcentral
UCGCGUCUUACGACGGCAGUUUCAUUAGAGUUCCCAGCUUUACCUGAUGGCAACUAAUGAUGGGGGUUGCGCUCGUUGCGGGACUUAACCCAACAUCUCACGACACGAGCUGACGACAGCCAUGCAGCAUCUGUGACCCACCCUCGAAGGCGACCGCAUUUCUGCGGCUUGCAGGGUCAUGUCAAACCCAGGUAAGGUUCUUCGCGUUGCGUCGAAUUAAACCACAUGCUCCGCUGCUUGUGCGGGUCCCCGUCAAUUCCUUUGAGUUUUAGCCUUGCGGCCGUACUCCCCAGGCGGGGCACUUAAUGCGUUAGCUCCGGCACGGGAGGAGUCGACACCUCCCACACCUAGUGCCCAUCGUUUACGGCGUGGACUAC